GAAAGUGAGACCGAUUCAGCUGAAGCUCUGAAUAGAGUUCAUCGCAUUUUGACUUUGAUCAAUUCCUGGAGUCCAUCCAUGUGCGUCUUGCAGUUUGCUGAUUGAUCUUCAGGUAUCUCAACGAGACGUUCGUUAUAUUGUGCAGACAGCGGAGCCUCUCAGAAUUGCUUUGUUGCAACCAGGUUAGCUAGCAACUAGUAAACUCUCAGUAACAAAAUGUAGAAUAUUGAUAACUCACAAGUAUUUGCAACAAACUGAUCCCAAUGUUCAAACCCAAAUAGAUAAUAAACUCACGACUGUUGAAAAAUUCGGUACAUGCAAUUCCAAAUUGGCUAGUGCACGGAUUUAGGUCCCGUCACCUGAAACGGCCGGAUUGCCGUCGAUCGACCGCCAGAAAACUCACGGCUUUGGGAGUGCGAUCCGCCGCCGUCGCCACGCGUGGGACGUCGCCGCCGCCGCCACUAUUGGACUCAGCGUGGUCAAAACCAUCAGACCGAAGCUUCCCGUCGCCGUCGGUUGACUUUCUGUUGCCGUUGACCGGCAAGGGCAUUUCGGUAAUUUCGUACAUCGAGGGUAAUUUCGUAAAUUCUGAAUUAAGGUUAUUUUCAUAAUUUGGAAUGAGGGUAGUUUUGUAAUUUGGUCAUCUAAGCUGUUGGGGGUAUUUAAAAUGUUGUUUGGAGCUAUUUUGCGUAACAAUUGUUAUAUGCUAAUUACGGAAAUUAAUUAUGUCGUUUAUUUAACUUAGGUGGAAUCACGAACGAGAAGUAAUCUGCGGAUGUUGACAAUAUCGAAUUUGAGCAUUAUCACUGUGAGUGAAAUAUAUAAAACUCAUUUUCAUAACUUAUUAUAAUAGUAAAACAUGUUUGUGAAAUAAGUAAGGGAAAUUAUCAGUCAUAUACCCUUAAAUGACACCAGUAUCAAACGCGCUACAACACUUUUUGUUUAUAUCACUCGUAUACCCUAAGUUGACAAAAGAGUUAUGGCGUCCACCUUUCCGUUUACUACCGUUAAGAACUUAACCGAAUUUGAGCAAAAUGAUUAUUUUACCUUUUAAACUCAAAAUGAGGUAAAAAAAUUAAUUUACCUUGAAAAUUAAUGUGAAUUUUCAAUACACAAUUUUUAUUUUUUUAAUUAAAAAAUAUGAAUUAUUAAUGGUACAUAUUAUUGACAAUUAUCCAUAAAAAAAUAUUCAUCUUAUACUAUAAAAAAUUAUUAACAACAUAUUAUUUAUAAUUAUACAUAUUAUACCAUAAAAAAUUCAAGUCUGAGCUUGGAGGAGUAGAUUUUCAAUAAUUUAGGUUAAAUUUUAGAGGAGUAUAUUCGGUUGUAAAGUAGUUUUUUUUAGCAAUUAUUAAUAAUUAUCUGAUAAAUGAGAUGACAUGUCAUUUUUAUCAAAAUAUAUCAUAUGACAUGUCGUUUUUUACUAGGUAAAUGGGAUGACAUGUCGUUUUAAAAAAAAAAACUAGAUUACCCUUAUGAUGUCAGCGCUCGCAAACGGCAGUUAACGGAUCGGUGGACGGCAGAAGUGUUUUGUUAACUUAGGGUAUACGAGUGAUACACUUGAAAAGUGUUGUAGCACGUUUGAUACUGGUGUCAUUUAAGGGUAUAUGGCUGAUAAUUUCCCAAUAAGUAAUUUAAAUACUCGGAUUUAAUGAUUUUCUCGAGAUAAAUUUUAUUUACGUAUUGAUAUGUUAUUAAAAAGUGUUUGUUAAUGAUUUUCUAUAUCGAUUUUGAAUAACACAUGAUAGUAUUUUAAAGACAAGAAAAGUGAAUUUAAAUGUUUUAAUAAAAAAAAGUAUGAUUAAUGUGCUCUGAUACCAAUUAUUGCGGAAACGCGGGUUGAACAAUUACUAAUAUUAUGGUGAUUGCGAUUUCUGAGGAAAUAUAAAUGUGACAAAUAAAUGUAAAAUAUGACACAAUAAUUUACGUGGUUCGACGUAAAGCUUACGUCCACAGAUAAAGACUGAAAGAUAAUUUUACUAAUAAAUGUGAAUUUACAAAAUUAAGAAAAACUCUCAAAACCCAAAAUUUCAAUACACUCAAUGGAUCCUCUUUAAAACACUAAAGUAGAAGCUCUCUCAAAUAUCUUAAAUUACUUCACUUGUAAUUGCUCUCAACUUUCUCAAUUGGGAUACAUUUGAAACUCUUCAUCUCCUCUCUAUUUAUAGGAAAAAAUAGGUGUAUUAUUGCACUAACUCCAACAAUUUUGUCAACAAAAAUUAGGUGCCUAACUUAGUAACUAAUUUUGAAUGCAUGCAUUAGUCAAUUUUGAAUUCAUAUAUUGAAUUUUUCAACAAUUCUCUACUUCGACAAAAAAUUGUUUAAAUCUGAAUCGACUAUCGACAUACUCUCCUCCAGUCUAUGCCUUCUUCGACUGCUUUCAAACUUAUAGGAUAUUGAUAAAGUUUGGACAAUACUUAAACUUGAUCGCUGUCACUACCUUGGUCAACAUAUUUACGAGAUUCUCUACAGUCUUGAUUUUCUAUAGAAGAAUCUUUCCCUUAGCUAUAUUUUCUCGCACAAAAUGAAAUCGUACGUUGAUAUGUACGUGCAUGAUAAACUUAGUUCUUUGUUAAGUGAAUAGCAAUUUGACUGUCGCAAUACACAUUAAUAUGCUCCUGUACAAAUCCCAAGUUUUCAAGUAUUACAUUAAUGAUAAACUUAGUUCUUUGUUAAGUGAAUAACAAUUUGACUGUCGCAAUACAUAUUAAUGUGCUCUUGUACCAAUCCCAAGUUUUCAAGUAUUACAUUAAUGUGCAUGUUUUUGGUAAUCCUGCUACUGAUUAUGAUUCUUUACAUGUUUUUGAUUCCACUGCUUAUUAUCAUGUAAACGAGUCUAAGUUAGACUUGAGAGUAAAGAAAACAUUGUUCAUGGGUAUAACUGGUGGAGUAAAAGGAUACCGUCUUUGGUGUCCAGUUACAAAGAAGAUUAUUUUCAGCAAAUAUAUGACUUUUGAUGAAUCGGCCAUGCUGAAACAAAAUAUUCACAAAAGGAUGACAAAACCAGUGGUACUUUUCAGCAUGUAGAGUUUGAAAAGGUUAAAAAUGAUUCAAUUGGAAUCGGUGAGACAAAUAAUAAUUCUCCAUUGACCAAAGAUGAUAAAGAGUUUUUGACUUAAGAACCUUUAUAGCAACAAGAUUCAAUUGCAUAUAGAAGGUCACACAGAGGAUUUGUAAGCUUGCAUACUUUGUUGAUAUGGUGGCCUAUGCACUUUCAGUUGUAGAUGAUGAUGUUCAUUCCACUUACAAAGAAGCAGUAAGUAGUCCUGAAAGUAGAUAAUGGAAGCUAGCAAUUGAUAAAGAAAUGCAGUCUCUUCAUAAAAAUGAAACUUAGGAGUUGGUUACACUGCUUAAGGAAUAUAAGGCAAUUUAGUGCAAAUGGGUAUAUGCGAAAGAAAGAUUUCCUCAUACAAAUGAAAUUUGAUAUAAGACUAGAUUGAUAGAGAGAGGUUACACUCAGGAAGAAAGAAUAGACUACAAUGAAGUAUUUUCUCCAGUUGUGAAACACUCAUCUAUUCAAAUUUUACUAGCUAUAGUUGCACAAUUUGAUCUUAAACUAGUUCAUCUUGAUGUAAAAACUGCAUUUUUACAUAGGGAUUUGGAAGAAAAAAAUCUACAUGACUCAACCAAAUGGAUUCAAGUUUGUUGGAAUAGAAAAUUGGAUUUGCAAAUUGACAAAGUCGCUGUAUGGAUUGAAAUAAUCUCUGAAGCAGUGGUAUAAGUUAGGGGUGGCAAAGUGAGUAAACAAAUCGAAUUCGAAUCGAAUCAUAAACGAGUUGGGUCAAAAUUCUACUGAUUCGAAUUCGAUUCGUUUAUUAAACGAAUUGAAAUAUCAGAAUUUGGAUUCGAUUCGUUUAUUAAAUUAAUAUUCAGUUCGAUUCGUUUAAUUCGUUUAGUAGAAUUAAUAAACGAACUAAAUCGAAUACAUAUUUGUUUAUUAUUUAUUUAUCCUAUUACGAAUUCAUUACGAAUCGAAUUGAAUUAUGAUUUGUUUAUAAUUCGUUUAGAAAAAUAUAAUUAAUUGACAAAAUUAAGCAAAAUAAAAUAUAAAAAAGCCACAAAUUUAAUAUCCUACGACAAAAUACAAACAACUCAAACCAUAUUUUAGGAUUAAAUAUAUAGUCAUCCAAAUACCAAAUUAUAAAUCCUUAAUAAUAUAAAUAACUUACAAAUUUUAAAAAAAUUUCAAAUAAAUUUAAUGAAAAAAAGUAAUUUAAUUAAACGAAUAAUAAACGAAUUUAAAACAAAUCAACCUGUAUUCAAUUCGUUUAUGACAUUUUUAUUAAACGAAUCCUAAACGAAUAAACAAAUUGAUAUCUUCAAACCUGGAUUCAAUUUGUUUAAUUAGUGAAUCAAAUUGAAUUCACCAUUUUAUUAAACGAAUCAAUUUUUUCAAAUCCAAACCCAUUUAAUUCGCAUCGAGUCGAAUCAAAUAUACGAAUUCUAACCCAUAUUACCACCCCUAGUAUAAGCGAUUUGAUUAGUUUAUGAAAAUGCAAAGGUACAAGAGAAAUAAAAUUGAUCAUUGUGUGUAUUUUCAUAAGCUACAAGAGGAAUCAUUCAUAUAUUUGCUCUUGUAUGUUGAUGAUAUACUAAAGCAUCCAAGGAUAAAAAUGAGAUUGAGAAGUUAAAGACAAGACUCAAUCAAGAAUUUGAGAUAAAAGAUCUAAGUGAAGUUAAAAAGAUUCUUAGCAUGGAGAUAUGCAAAGAUAGAGCUCGUGGCAAAAUCAGCUUGUUUCAGAAGCAAUAUUUAAAGAAGAUACUACAACAGUUUGACAUGACUGAGCAGACAAAAUCUGUCAGUGCUCUGCUUCUCAUUUCAGGCUUUCUGCACAAUUGUCUCCUUCAACAGAUGCAGAACGAUAAUAUAUGUUACAAGUUCCGUAUUCAAAAGCAGUGGGUGGCUUAAUGUAUGUAAUGGCGUGAACAAGGCCUGACAUUUCACAUGCAAUUAGUAUAGUGAGCAGGUAUAUGCAUAAUCUUGGUAAAGGACUUGUCAAGCUGUGAAAUGGAUUUUGUGGUACAUUUAGAAGAUUGUAGAUGUUGGUUUACUGUUUGAGCGAGAUGAUACACUUGGUCAAGGUGUGAUUGAGUACAUCAAUUUUGAUUAUGUUGGUGAUUUGGACAAAUGGCGAUCAACCACUUUAUAUGUAUUUACUUUUUCUAGAGGACCAAUCAGUUGGAAGUCUAUACUACACUCUACAGUUGCACCGUCGACCACAUAGGUUGAGUACAUGGCAAUUACAGAGGCUAUUAAAAAUGCUAUUUGGUUAUAAGGCUUGCUUGAAAACUUGGGAUUGGUACAAGAGCACAUUAAUGUGUAUUGCGACAGUCAAAGUGCUAUUCACUUAACAAAGAACCAAUUUUAUCAUGCACAUACCAAAUAUAUCAACAUACGAUUUUACUUUGUGCGGGAAAUUAUAGAUAAGGGGAAAAUUCUUUUAUAGAAAAUUAAAACUGCAGAGAAUGUUGCAGAUAUGUUGACCAAGGUAGUGAUGACGAUUAAGUUUGAGCAUUGUCUAAACUUGAUCAAUAUAUUAUAAGUUUGAAAGCAGUCGGAGAAGGCAGAGAUUGUAAGAUAGUUUGUCGAUAGUCAACUUAGAUUUGAACAAAUUUUUGUCGAGGUAGAGAAUUAUUGAAAAAUUCAGUACAUGAAUUCAAAAUUGGCUAAUGCAUACAAUUGACAAACAUUUAUUCAAAUUGAAAAAAAAAAUUACAUGCAUGCAUUCAAAAUUAGUUGCUAAGUUAAGCAUCUAAUUUUUGUUGACAAGAUUUUUGGAGUUGGUGCAAUAAUAAUGCACUUAUUUUUUCCUAUAAAUAGAGAGGAUAUGAGCUUCAAAUGUAUCCCAAUUGAGAGCGUUGAGAGCAAUUGCAAGUGAAAUAAUUUGAGAGAUUUAAAAGAGCUUCUACUUGAGUGCUCUAGUGAGGAUUCAUUUAGGUGUAUUGAGCUUUGGGUUUUGAGAGUUUUUUUCAAUUUUAUAAAUUCUCAUUUGUUAGAAAAAUUAUCUUCCAUUCUUUGUCAGUGGGCUUAGGUUUUAUGUUAAAUCACGUAAAUUAUUAUGUUUUAUUUUUUACAUUUAUAUUUCUUCAGAAUUCACAAUCACCAUAAUAUUGGUAAUUACUCAAUCCGCACCUCUGUAAGAACAACUAGUGGAAAAGGAUCCCUACAAAAUAAAUCAUAGGAAAGAGGAAACUGAUAACCAACUUACAAUACUAUUUGUACCCUCUGUAUCACAUAUAGUCCAUCCUUUUUAGUAUCAGUCUUCUCUCCAUUUUCCUUCAUCUGAAUAACAUGAAACAAAGGCCCCAAAAUUUCGGAAUCAAAUAAAACAUAUAAUACCUAUGCAAAGAAACUGCGUGAGACCGGUGACAUUAAAUUGAAAGAUAGCCAGUCUAGAUCAAGGAUUUUUAUGACUUGUUUCAUUUAUUUAUUUUCCAAAGGGAAGCAAACGGCGUACAGUUUCUUUUGGGAUGGUCAGUAUAAAUAUUUACCUCAUCUUUUAGCAACCAUUGCUAGGGGUAUCUGCGGAUCGGAUUUUGCAGAUUGAAUAUCAAUUGGUAGUGUCGUUAAGGUGCACCAAAUUUAAAACCUUACCACUAAUAUAAAUAAUUAGUACAAAGCGAGUAAGGAUCGAUCCCACAGAGACUAUGCUAGUUAUAUUUUUUUAUCAACUCUAAAGCAAGAUUUAAAAUAAAAUAAUAGUAGUAAUAAUAGAAAUUAAUCUAACUAAAGAAAAUACCAAUUAUAAAUAAAAAUGGGGUUUAUGAAUUUUUAACUAAAUAUUAAGAAAUAAAGAAAUUAAAACUACGAACAAGAAUUUAAUAAAAACUCUAGUUAAAGAAAAAAGAAAUAAUGAUGAUGAAAACUUUGGUUAAAGGAUCAUUCGCCACCACCAAACAUGCACAUAAUAUAUUAAUUCUAUCAUCAAUUUAUAUUGAAACUAUCAACCGUAGACAACAAUAAGCUCUGUUAGUCUCAAUCUUUCCUUAGUGUGUCGUUAGGCAAAACAAGCUCUUCACCUAAUCUCUAACCAUUAAAUAAUUUAAAACAAGCUUUUUAAAUUUAAGAUAAUGGAAGCAUUAAACAAAGAAAGAUAUUAGGUUGAUCUAGACAAUAAACACACAAGCUCGGAUUAUUUAACCUAGGUUAUGUUCUCCAAUUGAAAUCACUGAUUCCAACCUGCUACUAAUGAUUAAAAUAUCAAGACAAUUACGGAUCAAGAAUUUUAAUCUAGCAAUAGAAUUUAUUCAAGUCCUAUCUAAUUGGCCACUCAAAUAAAACAAGAAUAAACCAUGAAUAUUAAUUAUAAAAGAACAUAAACAAUCUCAAUUAAAUAAAUUGAAAGAUAGAAUUUAAAUUUAAUUGCAUAGCAUGUUUAGGGUUUUGAAUUCACCCUCAACCAAAUAAAAAUUUAGCCUAACAUAAUUGAAUUGAGAAGAAGAGAAUUGACAAAACCAAUCAUGGAGAUUAAUUCAAGCGGCUGCUGAUUUUUCUCUUCUCCUUGCGCCUGUUGAUUUUUUUCUCUGCCCGAAUUGCGUCUGCCCCCCUCUUUUCUUUCUCUGGCAGCUCUCCUUUUAUAAUGCUAGUUGACCGAAUUCUUCUCCAACAAGUCUAAAGAAAUCAUUUUUCAAUUCUAAUUGAAAUCCUUUUCCAAUUUGAACUUUUAUUCCUUUUCAAUUUGAACUUCUUCAUGUCCUUUUUAUCCACAAUCUCCAAUUAAUUCCAUAUUCAAUAAAAUAAUACAAUUAAUUAAAAAUAAUAAAUAAAAAUAACUAGCAAAUAUAUAAUAAAGGGUAAAAUAUGUAUAUUAAUUAAUUCCCUAUUCAAUUAAAAAUUAACUAAAAUAACUAGAAUGUUUCAGAUCAAAACAAGAAAAAGAUGGAGAAAUUAAUAACAAAAUAUAUGAAAAAUAUGCACUUAUCAUCAAUCCAUAUCCAAUCCAAUAUUUUGAGGAUUGGUUUGCAGGCUAAAAAUUUUAAAUCAUGUCCUAUCCACGAAUUAACUAACUAAAAAAAUUUAAUAUAAAAAUAAUUUUACUACUGAUUAAAUUCAAAAUUAAAUAAGAUUUAAAUAAAUUAGUUAUUUAAAUAAAACUAAAAAAUACAUUCAAAGUUUAAAAAUAUAACACACUAAAAGGAAAAAAAAUCUCAUUUAUGUAGAUCAGUACAUGAAAAUUAACUACGUAGGAAGCUAUAUUUUUUAUUUAAUUAAUUUUAUUUUAUAUUAUUAUCGGAUAAGCUAUAAUAUAGUGUUAAUAUAACAAUAUUUUAACUUAUUUAUUUUUUAGUAAGUAUAAUGUCAUAUUUACAAGUUUAAUUUUUAUUAAAUGAAUAAUUUUUAUUCUUUUUACGGAUCCGUAGAUUUUUACGGAUUUAUAGAAGUAAAUCCAUUUCCAAUCCACUGACUGCGGAUUUUUAAAAUUUCAAUCCAAUCCACGGAUAAUAUUUUUAUGGAUCUGAUUUCAACGGAUCAGACGGAUUGAACGGAUUGGAUUGGAUUUUGAACAUCCCUAGCCAUUGCUUCACAAAACUCAGGAACUUUCACAGCUUAACCAAAUGUAUUUGGUUCACUUGUGGAAGAUACAGCUAAAAGAAAAGAUUUAUGUGUAGCAAGAAAUUUAUCAUAACAAACAUUAUAAGAAAAAGGAUAUGGCUUACCAGUUUACUUAGAAGAAAAGACAGUAGAUGAAGGUUCAUGGGAAGUUGAUGAACAAUGAUAAUCUUGAAGGUAAGUUGGAGGGCAAUGAUCAUGUUGAGG
Molecule: long non-coding RNA, 8758 nt
Filed under: Citrus maxima (pomelo)
Lineage: Eukaryota; Viridiplantae; Streptophyta; Magnoliopsida; Sapindales; Rutaceae
Description: long non-coding RNA (CMAX_LNC002689)
Source: RNAcentral